This 2244-nucleotide long non-coding RNA is filed under the name Triticum aestivum (bread wheat). RNAcentral's name for it is "long non-coding RNA (TAES_LNC009850)". Lineage: Eukaryota; Viridiplantae; Streptophyta; Magnoliopsida; Poales; Poaceae. The record is from RNAcentral.
UAUAUUAUAUUUAGCGCAACUUUCAAAAUAUCAUAACCCUAAUGACGCGCAUCCAGAUUACAUUUGUCAUCAUGAUCUAUCUAGGAAGUUUGAAAUGCAAAACAUAAUAGUAACUAAUAUAUAAUGCUCGAAGCAUUAUGCCUAAACUAAAAUUGACCAAAACUUUAGAAGUUCACUUUGUUGCAUGUCCUGAAGAAAGAUCAUUAGACUCAUCACCCUUCAUCACCAUAUGGAUCAUAACGCUCAUCGCCAUAUAGAUCAUGACAAUCAUCGCCAUAGACAUCAUCACCCUUGCCAUAGAUCACAACUCUUCUAGUGCUGUUUCACAUUCCUAAGAAAUGAUUAGACUCGUUGUAAGGGAGAUGAAAAUGAUGUAAUGUAGUUGAAGUUUAAUUGAGCAUACAGUGACAAAACUUAGAUCUUCUAACUGACUAGUUAGCUGCUAUAUAGCAGUAUGACUACAUAUUUACCUUUUGAUCCUUCACAUGCAAUUUUCAGGGUAACAUGAAUAAGCAGGAACACAUACUCAAAAUAAUAAAGAUUGAGGACUACAGGUUUCCAUGUACACUAAAGCAAUAUUCUACCAAUAAACCACACUGAUUUCAAUUUCAUAGUAAGUUUGCAAUGGUUCAGAGCACAUCAUGCUUUUCGAAUUACUUGUAACAUUCAUAUAAUUCCAAGCACAUGGCAAUUUUCUAAUUACAUGUAUUAAUCAUAUCUCCAGAAUCCACAUGUGCUAUUGUUAGACCAAGAUGGCGAUGUGAUACAGGUAAAAAAAAUCCUAUAUGAGUUCAACAAAAUUUUACCCCUGGCACCUUGAUUAAGAUGGAUUUAAUGUGAAGAAAACAGCUAGUCCAUAGAUAGAUAUCUCAGUUAUGAGCCACAUCUAGGAAAAAUAGGGCACAAGCAGGUGCAUACAUUAUAUAUAUAGUACAGUAGUACCACCUAUGCAAUGUGGUAAGCUAAGAAAUCAGCUAAAAUAAAAAAGAGUAGGUCCCGGAGCAAGUUAUCUGUAGCAUGAUCUUCAAAGCCAUUGUACGCUGGCCAAGUGGUCAGUACGUCUCAGACACAACGAUCUCAAAUAAAAAAGGAAGGUCUCAAAACAAGGAAGUCGAUUGACAGGGUAGUGUUCUUAUCAGAAGUUUAGAACUCAAUGCUAGUGAUGAAGAUACAUGUAUUUUCGUAUAUAUGUUUGUCCAUGCACAUGUUGUCUAGAAAUAAAUUGGCGCAUAACUAGAUGGGACGUGUGGCUAAGAGAUGAUGGGCCAACCUUUUCAGUUUCGUGUUGACAAACAUCAUCUCGCCCCCUUUCAAAUAGGACUUCAUGUGCCUAGGCUCAAAAGCAUUACAUUAUUGCUCUUCAGAUAGGCCCAACUGCCACCUGCAUGAUAACAUAGUGCGUAUAAGAACAACAAGUAAGAACCCCUGCUCUACCCUGCUCUACGUCAUUGAGAAAGAACACAUAGGACAUGAUGUUAACUUGUCAAUGGAUGCAUCAGCUUUAGGAACAUGAGCUAAAUGUUACAGAAAUAUAAAAUACUGAAAUGAAAAGCAAAAGCGAGAUGAAAAAACUUACAAGUACAUCUACAAACCAAAACUGAAGGAAAAAGAACAAGGAGUGUAUGCACUACAUGAAUGGAGGACCUCUUCGAUGUAAAUUAGUUGUCUGGGCAGGGACUACUAGUUAAGUUAUACUCCCUCCGUUCCUAAAUAUAAGUUUCUUUAUACAUUUCAAAUGGAUUACAACUUAGGGAUGUAUGUAGACAUAUUUUAAAGUAUACAUUCAUUCAUUUUGCUUCGUAUGUAGUCACUUGUUGAAAUCUUUAAAAAGACUUAUAUUUAGGAACGGAGGGAGUACAAUAGUAUGAAGUAUACACCCCAAUCAUGAUUGCACAUGCUGACAUAGUGUCUCUUCUCUUAUGUACUAGUACUAGUUCGAACUGCUGCAACUAGCUACCCUUGAUCCAACAUACAUGCAUCAACACAAGCUAGCUAUCUCACCUCAUUGGCGCCAAAUGGCUACUUACUAGUUAAUCGAACUAUUUUUCAACACAUAGGCGUGACUUUAUUUUCCAAACUAAUAGACUUGCCUUUGUUUUUCAGCAAUCAUACAAACAAAAAAUAUACCUAAACAGAAAUGCAAACAACAAUGGCCUCACUAUAGAACGUGAACCUCACCACCAUAGUAGCCCGCCAUGGCACCAUCUCCUCCAUCUCCCCGGUAUUCAACUUGAAAGACACGAG